GAUGAACGCUGGCGGCGUGCCUAAUACAUGCAAGUCGAGCGAACGGACGAGAAGCUUGCUUCUCUGAUGUUAGCGGCGGACGGGUGAGUAACACGUGGAUAACCUACCUAUAAGACUGGGAUAACUUCGGGAAACCGGAGCCAAUACCGGAUAAUAUUUUGAACCGCAUGGUUCAAAAGUGAAAGACGGUCUUGCUGUCACUUAUAGAUGGAUCCGCGCUGCAUUAGCUAGUUGGUAAGGUAACGGCUUACCAAGACAACGAUGCAUAGCCGACCUGAGAGGGUGAUCGGCCACACUGGAACUGAGACACGGUCCAGACUCCUACGGGAGGCAGCAGUAGGGAAUCUUCCGCAAUGGGCGAAAGCCUGACGGAGCAACGCCGCGUGAGUGAUGAAGGUCUUCGGAUCGUAAAACUCUGUUAUUAGGGAAGAACAUAUGUGUAAGUAACUGUGCACAUCUUGACGGUACCUAAUCAGAAAGCCACGGCUAACUACGUG
RNAcentral lists this ribosomal RNA (497 nucleotides) under uncultured bacterium. RNAcentral describes it as "partial 16S ribosomal RNA". It matches the Rfam family "Bacterial small subunit ribosomal RNA", at positions 28 to 507 of the family's 1533-position model. The record is from RNAcentral.